This 350-nucleotide unclassified non-coding RNA is filed under the name plant metagenome. RNAcentral's name for it is "partial contains 5.8S ribosomal RNA, internal transcribed spacer 2, and large subunit ribosomal RNA". The stretch from base 1 to 105 matches the Rfam family "5.8S ribosomal RNA", at positions 50 to 154 of the family's 154-position model. The record is from RNAcentral.
GAAAUGCGUUAAGUAAUGUGAAUUGCAGAAUUCAGUGAAUCAUCGAAUCUUUGAACGCACCUUGCGCUCCUUGGUAUUCCGAGGAGCAUGCCUGUUUGAGUGUCAUGGAAUUCUCAACUCUAUUUGCUUUUGUGAAUAGAGCUUGGAUUUGGAGGUUUAUUGCUGGUACUUGUGAUCGGCUCCUCUUGAAUGCAUUAGCUCGAACCUUUGCGGAUCAGCUAUCGGUGUGAUAAUUGUCUACGCCGUUGCAGUGAAGCAUAUCAAUGGGCUCGGCUUCCAAUCGUCCUUUACUGGACAAUGACUUUGACCUUUGACCUCAAAUCAGGUAGGAUUACCCGCUGAACUUAAGC